This 468-nucleotide ribosomal RNA is filed under the name uncultured bacterium. Its description in RNAcentral is "partial 16S ribosomal RNA". It matches the Rfam family "Bacterial small subunit ribosomal RNA", at positions 28 to 507 of the family's 1533-position model. The record is from RNAcentral.
GACGAACGCUGGCGGCGUGCUUAACACAUGCAAGUCGAACGGAAAGGCCCUGCUUUUGUGGGGUGCUCGAGUGGCGAACGGGUGAGUAACAUGUGAGUAACCUGCCCUUGACUUUGGGAUAACUUCAGGAAACUGGGGCUAAUACCGGAUAGGAGCUCCUGCUGCAUGGUGGGGGUUGGAAAGUUUCGGCGGUUGGGGAUGGACUCGCGGCUUAUCAGCUUGUUGGUGGGGUAGUGGCUUACCAAGGCUUUGACGGGUAGUCGGCCUGAGAGGGUGACCGGCCACAUUGGGACUGAGAUACGGCCCAGACUCCUACGGGAGACAGCAGUGGAGAAUAUUGCACAAUGGGCGGAAGCCUGAUGCAGCAACGCCGCGUGCGGGAUGACGGCCUUCGGGUUGUAAACCGCUUUCGCCUGUGACGAAGCGUGAGUGACGGUAAUGGGUAAAGAAGCACCGGCUAACUACGUG